Molecule: long non-coding RNA, 425 nt
Organism: Octopus sinensis (East Asian common octopus)
Lineage: Eukaryota; Metazoa; Mollusca; Cephalopoda; Octopoda; Octopodidae
Exons: 2
Source: RefSeq, a predicted model, not a curated record
GUUGAAGCACAUUUUUGUAGAUAUGUAGUUAUUGUGUUUUAUUUUCUGCAUGAUCUCCUGGUCCGUGAAAAAAUUGUAUUUCGCGAAAUUGAUGCAAAAACCAGUCGAGGGGCACUGUUUGAGAUAAUUGAUAUUUUACACACACGCAUAUUAUUUCGUCAGCGAAACUGUGGCUGAAGAUGAAAUAUCAGCUUCAUUGUUUGAUACCAACAAGAAAUAAAUCUGAAAAUCUUGAAACGUUGAUGUCAAAGAGUUAAAAGUUAUUAAUUAAAACCUCUGAAAAUCUCAAUUUAACGAGGAGAUGGUUUGGUAAAAGGGUAAAACACUAACUAGUUCACUGUUUACAUCUCAACUCGAAUAUCAAAUGUAAUUGGCAUAAAAAUCAUUUUCGAGAUGCAUUAUCAAUGUUUAUCGUCUUUGAAACA